Molecule: small RNA, 62 nt
Filed under: Morganella morganii
Lineage: Bacteria; Pseudomonadati; Pseudomonadota; Gammaproteobacteria; Enterobacterales; Morganellaceae
Description: int-alpA RNA
Rfam family: int-alpA RNA (bases 1-54)
About the family: Acidobacteria (1 example), Planctomycetes (1 example), Proteobacteria. Environment (Lake Washington)
Source: RNAcentral
CCGUAUCUAGCCCGACGGGGCGAAAAGCGGGGAAGCCUUACCCGCCUGUUACGGCGAUACUU